This is a long non-coding RNA of Mesocricetus auratus (golden hamster), 577 nucleotides long. RefSeq lists it as uncharacterized. Lineage: Eukaryota; Metazoa; Chordata; Mammalia; Rodentia; Cricetidae. The transcript has 3 exons. The record is from RefSeq and is a predicted model, not a curated record.
UGUACUCAUCAAAAGGAAAACACGUGGGAGAGAGAUUUCUGCCACCUCAGAUUCUGACUGAAUCUUUGGAUUUGAUCUGGAGAAACCAGUGCUACCCCCAACUCCACCACAACUGGCCUAUCUGGAACCCGCUACAUUGACCAAGCUGGCCUCAAAUUUGCAAUGAUUUUCUUCUCUGCCUAUCGAAUGCUGAUAUUAUAGGGAAAUACUCAGCUGCGGGGAGAGACUCCCAGAAACACCACCACACAACGUCGUAAGCUCCAUCUGGAUAAAGUUCUUUGGGGUCCUCUUGUUAGUCCCUCUUGGGAGACUGACAUCUGAAGCUGUUGUCACUUUAAACCCAUUGCCACGCCUGGCACAGCACGGGAAGGAGUAUGCCCAAGGAGAACUUGUUGAAUGCAAUUCCAUCUACAGGCUGGGUGAAGUCAAGCGCUCUUCCAUCUGCCAAAGGCUUUGGUGUUGCUAAUUUUGUUCUUAGAAAGCUUUCACACCAAUAAAUCUAUUCCUUAGGGUGUAUCUGAAAAUGCCUCUGGAAGUUCAAACAGAUAUGCGUGCCCUCUUAGGAGCAGUGCGGUGC